CAGGGAUUGCCCUAGUAACGGCGAGUGAAGCGGCAACAGCUCAAAUUUGAAAUCUGGCUUCGGCCCGAGUUGUAAUUUGCAGAGGAAGCUUUAGGCGCGGCACCUUCUGAGUCCCCUGGAACGGGGCGCCAUAGAGGGUGAGAGCCCCGUAUAGUUGGAUGCCUAGCCUGUGUAAAGCUCCUUCGACGAGUCGAGUAGUUUGGGAAUGCUGCUCAAAAUGGGAGGUAAAUUUCUUCUAAAGCUAAAUACCGGCCAGAGACCGAUAGCGCACAAGUAGAGUGAUCGAAAGAUGAAAAGCACUUUGAAAAGAGGGUUAAAUAGCACGUGAAAUUGUUGAAAGGGAAGCGCUUGUGACCAGACUUGCGCCGGGCGGAUCAUCCGGUGUUCUCACCGGUGCACUCCGCCCGGCUCAGGCCAGCAUCGGUUCUCGCGGGGGGAUAAAGGUCCUGGGAACGUAGCUCCUCCGGGAGUGUUAUAGCCCGGGGCGUAAUGCCCUCGCGGGGACCGAGGUUCGCGCAUCUGCAAGGAUGCUGGCGUAAUGGUCAUCAGCGACCCGUCUUGAAACACGGACC
RNAcentral lists this ribosomal RNA (572 nucleotides) under Chaetomium globosum. Its description in RNAcentral is "eukaryotic LSU rRNA". It matches the Rfam family "Eukaryotic large subunit ribosomal RNA", at positions 69 to 667 of the family's 3401-position model. The record is from RNAcentral. Lineage: Eukaryota; Fungi; Ascomycota; Sordariomycetes; Sordariales; Chaetomiaceae.